AACGAACGCUGGCGGCAUGCCUAACACAUGCCAGUCGAACGAGACCUUCGGGUCUAGUGGCGCACGGGUGCGUAACGCGUGGGAACCUGCCCUUAGGUUCGGAAUAACUCCCCGAAAGGGGUGCUAAUACCGGAUAAUGUCUUCGGACCAAAGAUUUAUCGCCGUUGGAUGGGCCCGCGUUGGAUUAGCUAGUUGGUAGGGUAAAAGCCUACCAAGGCGACGAUCCAUAGCUGGUCUGAGAGGAUGAUCAGCCACACUGGGACUGAGACACGGCCCAGACUCCUACGGGAGGCAGCAGUGGGGAAUAUUGGACAAUGGGCGAAAGCCUGAUCCAGCAAUGCCGCGUGAGUGAUGAAGGCCUUAGGGUUGUAAAGCUCUUUUACCCGGGAUGAUAAUGACAGUACCGGGAGAAUAAGCUCCGGCUAACUCCGUG
This 433-nucleotide ribosomal RNA is filed under the name uncultured bacterium. Its description in RNAcentral is "partial 16S ribosomal RNA". It matches the Rfam family "Bacterial small subunit ribosomal RNA", at positions 29 to 507 of the family's 1533-position model. The record is from RNAcentral.